RNAcentral lists this ribosomal RNA (253 nucleotides) under uncultured prokaryote. RNAcentral's name for it is "partial 16S ribosomal RNA". It matches the Rfam family "Bacterial small subunit ribosomal RNA", at positions 524 to 776 of the family's 1533-position model. The record is from RNAcentral.
GACGGAGGAGGCAAGCAUUGUCCGGAAUUAUUGGGCGUAAAGAACACGUAGGCGGUUUGUCAAGUCAUAUGUGAAAACCUUGGGCUUAACUUAAGGAUUGCAUAUGAUACUGGUAAACUAGAGUAUAGUAGAGGAAAGCGGAAUUCCUGGUGUAGCGGUGAAAUGCGCAGAUAUCAGGAAGAACACCAGUGGCGAAAGCGGCUUUCUGGACUGUUACUGACGCUGAGGUGUGAAAGCUAGGGGAGCGAACAGG